GGGGACCCGCAAGCGGUGGAUGAUGUGGAUUAAUUCGAUGCAACGCGAAAAACCUUACCUACCCUUGACAUGUACGGAAGGCCGAAGAGAUUUGGCUGUGCUCGAAAGAGAACCGUAACACAGGUGCUGCAUGGCUGUCGUCAGCUCGUGUCGUGAGAUGUUGGGUUAAGUCCCGCAACGAGCGCAACCCUUGUCAUUAGUUGCUACAUUUAGUUGAGCACUCUAAUGGGACUGCCGGUGACAAACCGGAGGAAGGUGGGGGUGACGUCAAGUCCUCAUGGCCCUUAUGGGUAGGGCUUCACACGUCAUACAAUGGUACAUACAGAGGGCCGCCAACCCGCGAGGGGGAGCUAAUCCCAGAAAGUGUAUCGUAGUCCGGAUCGCAGUCUGCAACUCGACUGCGUGAAGUUGGAAUCGCUAGUAAUCGCGGAUCAGCAUGUCGCGGUGAAUACGUUCCCGGGUCUUGUACACACC
RNAcentral lists this ribosomal RNA (474 nucleotides) under uncultured bacterium. RNAcentral describes it as "bacterial SSU rRNA". It matches the Rfam family "Bacterial small subunit ribosomal RNA", at positions 915 to 1391 of the family's 1533-position model. The record is from RNAcentral.